This 412-nucleotide ribosomal RNA is filed under the name uncultured bacterium. RNAcentral describes it as "bacterial SSU rRNA". It matches the Rfam family "Bacterial small subunit ribosomal RNA", at positions 917 to 1333 of the family's 1533-position model. The record is from RNAcentral.
GGGCCCGCACAAGCGGUGGAGCAUGUGGUUUAAUUCGAUGCAACGCGAAGAACCUUACCAGGACUUGACAUACUACAAAUUCUUUUGAGAAAAAGAAGUGCCUUCGGGAAUGUAGAUACAGGUGGUGCAUGGCUGUCGUCAGCUCGUGUCGUGAGAUGUUGGGUUAAGUCCCGCAACGAGCGCAACCCUUAUUUUUAGUUACCAAUUCGUUGGGUUCUCUAGAAAGACUGCCGGUGACAAACCGGAGGAAGGUGAGGAUGACGUCAAGUCAGCAUGCCCCUUAUGUCCUGGGCUACACACGUGCUACAAUGGUUAAGACAAAGAGUUGCGAGCUCGCAAGGGUCAGCUAAUCUCAUAAACUUAGCCUAAGUUCAGAUUGUAGGCUGCAACUCGCCUACAUGAAGUUGGAAUC